GCAUUAAUGGGGUAGUGGUAACCUGGGUCGUUGCCAUCCGCUUGCUCGACCCGCCGGGGGUUCGAUUCCCUCUUAAUGCA
RNAcentral lists this transfer RNA (80 nucleotides) under Ephemerocybe angulata. Its description in RNAcentral is "Coprinellus angulatus tRNA". It matches the Rfam family "tRNA". Rfam says of the family: Transfer RNA (tRNA) molecules are approximately 80 nucleotides in length. Their secondary structure includes four short double-helical elements and three loops (D, anti-codon, and T loops). Further hydrogen bonds mediate the characteristic L-shaped molecular structure. tRNAs have two regions of fundamental functional importance: the anti-codon, which is responsible for specific mRNA codon recognition, and the 3' end, to which the tRNAs corresponding amino acid is attached (by aminoacyl-tRNA synthetases). tRNAs cope with the degeneracy of the genetic code in two manners: having more than one tRNA (with a specific anti-codon) for a particular amino acid; and 'wobble' base-pairing, i.e. permitting non-standard base-pairing at the 3rd anti-codon position. Lineage: Eukaryota; Fungi; Basidiomycota; Agaricomycetes; Agaricales; Psathyrellaceae. The record is from Rfam by way of RNAcentral.